Molecule: ribosomal RNA, 453 nt
Filed under: uncultured bacterium
Lineage: Bacteria
Description: bacterial SSU rRNA
Rfam family: Bacterial small subunit ribosomal RNA
Source: RNAcentral
AGCGAACGCUGGCGGCAGGCUUAACACAUGCAAGUCGAGCGGGCGUAGCAAUACGUCAGCGGCAGACGGGUGAGUAACGCGUGGGAACGUACCUUUUGGUUCGGAACAACACAGGGAAACUUGUGCUAAUACCGGAUAAGCCCUUACGGGGAAAGAUUUAUCGCCGAAAGAUCGGCCCGCGUCUGAUUAGCUAGUUGGUAGGGUAAUGGCCUACCAAGGCGACGAUCAGUAGCUGGUCUGAGAGGAUGAUCAGCCACAUUGGGACUGAGACACGGCCCAAACUCCUACGGGAGGCAGCAGUGGGGAAUAUUGGACAAUGGGGGGCAACCCUGAUCCAGCCAUGCCGCGUGAGUGAUGAAGGCCCUAGGGUUGUAAAGCUCUUUUGUGCGGGAAGAUAAUGACGGUACCGCAAGAAUAAGCCCCGGCUAACUUCGUGCCAGCAGCCGCGGUAAU